Molecule: ribosomal RNA, 1382 nt
Filed under: Staphylococcus capitis
Lineage: Bacteria; Bacillati; Bacillota; Bacilli; Caryophanales; Staphylococcaceae
Description: bacterial LSU rRNA
Rfam family: Bacterial large subunit ribosomal RNA
Source: RNAcentral
UGGGUAGCUGUAAGUAAGCGUUGAUCCAGAGAUUUCCGAAUGGGGGAACCCAACAUGAGUUAUGUCAUGUUAUCGACAUGUGAAUUCAUAGCAUGUCAGAAGGCAGACCCGGAGAACUGAAACAUCUUAGUACCCGGAGGAAGAGAAAGAAAAAUCGAUUCCCUGAGUAGCGGCGAGCGAAACGGGAAGAGCCCAAACCAACAAGCUUGCUUGUUGGGGUUGUAGGACACUCUAUACGGAGUUACAAAAGAACAUGUUAGACGAAUCAUCUGGAAAGAUGAAUCAAAGAAGGUAAUAAUCCUGUAGUCGAAAACAUAUUCUCUCUUGAGUGGAUCCUGAGUACGACGGAGCACGUGAAAUUCCGUCGGAAUCUAGGAGGACCAUCUCCUAAGGCUAAAUACUCUCUAGUGACCGAUAGUGAACCAGUACCGUGAGGGAAAGGUGAAAAGUACCCCGGAAGGGGAGUGAAAGAGAACUUGAAACCGUGUGCUUACAAGUAGUCAGAGCCCGUUUAUGGGUGAUGGCGUGCCUUUUGUAGAAUGAACCGGCGAGUUACGAUCUGAUGCAAGGUUAAGCAGCGAAUGUGGAGCCGUAGCGAAAGCGAGUCUGAAUAGGGCGUUGAGUAUUUGGUCGUAGACCCGAAACCAGGUGAUCUACCCUUGGUCAGGUUGAAGUUCAGGUAACACUGAAUGGAGGACCGAACCGACUUACGUUGAAAAGUGAGCGGAUGAACUGAGGGUAGCGGAGAAAUUCCAAUCGAACUUGGAGAUAGCUGGUUCUCUCCGAAAUAGCUUUAGGGCUAGCCUCAAGUGAUGAUUAUUGGAGGUAGAGCACUGUUUGGACGAGGGGCCCCUCUCGGGUUACCGAAUUCAGACAAACUCCGAAUGCCAAUCAAUUUAACUUGGGAGUCAGAACAUGGGUGAUAAGGUCCGUGUUCGAAAGGGAAACAGCCCAGACCACCAGCUAAGGUCCCAAAAUAUAUGUUAAGUGGAAAAGGAUGUGGCGUUGCCCAGACAACUAGGAUGUUGGCUUAGAAGCAGCCAUCAUUUAAAGAGUGCGUAAUAGCUCACUAGUCGAGUGACACUGCGCCGAAAAUGUACCGGGGCUAAACAUAUUACCGAAGCUGUGGAUUGUCCUUCGGACAAUGGUAGGAGAGCGUUCUAAGGGCGUUGAAGCAUGAUCGCAAGGACAUGUGGAGCGCUUAGAAGUGAGAAUGCCGGUGUGAGUAGCGAAAGACGGGUGAGAAUCCCGUCCACCGAUUGACUAAGGUUUCCAGAGGAAGGCUCGUCCGCUCUGGGUUAGUCGGGUCCUAAGCUGAGGCCGACAGGCGUAGGCGAUGGAUAACAGGUUGAUAUUCCUGUACCACCUAGUAUCGUUUUAAU